AAAACUUUUAAUGUCUUUUAGUUUUUCUGUCACGAUCUGGAAGUAGUAGUGACAGGCUUAGUUUUCGAAAAACAGUGGUUUCUAUACAUUGUAACCUUUGCGUGACCUCGCGCAACUUGUAGAAUUCCCACGAGAAAUUUAGCGAAGUAAAUUGUUGAAAUUUAUAAAGAGGAAGAGUACAACUUUCUUUGUCCAGUUAGACCGGGACAAGAAGAUUGGAAGAGCGCAUUGCUCUACAAACCUAUUUUUCGAACAAAGCAGAGGAUUCUAGCAAAUAAACAUGACUCAGAAAAACCAAAAUUGCGUAAAAACCAAAAAAAGACUAAUAUUCAAAACAUUUGGCAAAGCAAUAAUUGAAAUUCAAAGAAAGUAAACCAGUGCAUACUCAAAUAUAUUUACAAGUCUGAACGAAGUUCAACCGCUGUCUUACUAAAAGAAUGCUUACAAGAGUCCAGGAUAAUUUAAAGAUGUUAGAUAAACCCCAUUUGGAUAGUAUCAGAAGCCAUUAUCGACAUCGAUAUUUAGAAACAAAAAAGAGAGAAGAGAUGCAUCGUCAUAAUGGCGGUAUCUUCAGAUCAAUCAAAGCUGCUGCAUUCUUAUCCACAAGUUGCAGACAUUUGUACAAAUAAGUGUCGACGACAUCACUCAUCCUGAAAAAUUGUUAAUUAUGUAUGGUCUCUUUUUAAUUUAAUCCGCAACAAUUGGACCAUGAAGGCGCUCGAUCUUCUCUCGUGUGUCGCUAGGAAACUAAAGAAAAAUGAAAAAUAAAAAAAAUACAAUUUU
This is a long non-coding RNA of Centruroides sculpturatus (bark scorpion), 783 nucleotides long. RefSeq lists it as uncharacterized. Lineage: Eukaryota; Metazoa; Arthropoda; Arachnida; Scorpiones; Buthidae. The record is from RefSeq and is a predicted model, not a curated record. The transcript has 3 exons.